Molecule: long non-coding RNA, 742 nt
Filed under: Phoenix dactylifera (date palm)
Lineage: Eukaryota; Viridiplantae; Streptophyta; Magnoliopsida; Arecales; Arecaceae
Description: long non-coding RNA (PDAC_LNC018584)
Source: RNAcentral
AUAUAAUAAUAAUAAGAGAAGAAGAAAAGAAGAAGAGGAAGAGACUUCUUCCUCUCUCUUUCUCUUAGCCGGUUACCAUCGCCGGCGACUGCAGCAGGGGCGGCCGGCGAUGGUUCGGCCAAUGGUGGCCGAGGGUGGGGAGGUGAGGGCGCAGCCACCCUGGCUGUUGCCCUUGGACCAAGGAGGUGGAGGAAGAACCCUUCUCUAUCAUCCACCCUUCUUUUGGUCUUUUCAUCAGGACCGACCAUCGUCGCCGGCUUGGCAGCGGCCACGGCUGGCGACGACAUGGGCCGGUGGUACAAGGUGGGAGUCGGGCCACCCCGACUGCCCUAGAUUUGGAGGGAUUGAGAUGUUUGGAGAUCUGGUGAUGGAUCCCAUAGUAGAUGUGAAUUAUAUUUUGGAAUAUUUAAAUAUUAAAUAAUUUAGUUGUGAUUUAUAAUUGAUGUUGUAGAGGAAGAGUCGGCGGUGCCAGGAGAUUUUGAUCAGGGAACUCAGCACCCCAGCUCGUAGUUGUGAUCCGGAUCUGUAAUUGUGACAGUCUACAAUCUCUGUAAGAAUCCCUACAUCUUAGCACUUCUAUGCAUAUAUUGAUUUAUCGUUGGAUUUUAUUUACGGUUUUGAUGUUAUUGCUUGUGAGUUGAUAUGAUACAUAUGAGACGAAUUUUUAUCAACAUAUUUUCAUUAUUAUGUUGUUAUUGUUUAUGAGUUGAUUUCGGCACCUAUGAGGCGUGCAUAUUGUUUA